RNAcentral lists this ribosomal RNA (538 nucleotides) under Glossosoma nigrior. Its description in RNAcentral is "SSU rRNA". It matches the Rfam family "Eukaryotic small subunit ribosomal RNA", at positions 602 to 1108 of the family's 1831-position model. Lineage: Eukaryota; Metazoa; Arthropoda; Insecta; Trichoptera; Glossosomatidae. The record is from RNAcentral.
UACUAAAGUUGUUGCGGUUAAAAAGCUCGUAGUUGAAAUUGUGUCUUGCGGUGUCGGUCUACCGACUGCGGUACGACGGGCACGUCUGCGGGGCUUCUCGCCGAUGCGUCCGACGCCGGCACGCGUCGGUCACCCGCAAGGGGGGCCGCGCGUCGAGGCGUAGCGUUACGGCUGUUUACUUUGAACAAAUUAGAGUGCUCAAAGCGGGCUUGGUCUUGCCUGAAUAUUGUACGCAUGGAAUAAUAGAAUAGGACCUCGGUUCUGUUUUGUUGGCUUAUUGAUACCAGAGGUAAUGAUUAAUAGGGACAACUGGGGGCAUUCGUAUUGCGACGUUAGAGGUGAAAUUCUUGGAUCGUCGCAAGACGGACUAAAGCGAAAGCAUUUGCCAAAGGUGUUUUCAUUAAUCAAGAACGAAAGUUAGAGGUUCGAAGGCGAUUAGAUACCGCUGUAGUUCUAACCAUAAAUGAUGCCAGCCAGCGAUCCGCCGACGUUUCAUAAAUUUAACCCGGUGGGCAGCUCCCGGGAAACCAAAGCUUUC